RNAcentral lists this long non-coding RNA (1284 nucleotides) under Taeniopygia guttata (zebra finch). Its description in RNAcentral is "lncRNA (ENSTGUG00000020295.1)". Lineage: Eukaryota; Metazoa; Chordata; Aves; Passeriformes; Estrildidae. The record is from RNAcentral.
AUGUCCUCUCUUGCUGCCUCUGUCCUUGUUUUAUUCUGCCUCCAGGAUCAGAGAAGUGCUAAAACCGUGUCCAAUCCCUGCUGGCCCCUCACCUAUUCCCAGGAAGUGCAGUGGCAAUCACUGCAUGCUGGGCCUUGUGCUGCCAGUGAUGACACACGGGACAUCCCUGGCCCCAAGGAGAUCUUCAACAUCACAGGCUCCAGCAACCCCACAGCCUGCAUGAACCUCGUGCAAAGCCUGCUCAGCUCUUCCUCUUCCUGCAGCUUUUUCAAGCAUUCCCUCAGCAGUGAUCUCAAACCCCUUCAGACCAGGCUUCUGGUGGUUUCUGAGGCCAUGGAUUUCAUGAGAGGAACUGCACCUUCUCCUGACUUGGGUCAGGCUGUCAAGAGGCUGUGUGGGAUGUCUGUCAAAGAGGUAAUUGUGGAGUAACUCAGUCUGCAGGGAGAGCGGGAAGCAAGGAACAGUUUUUUGCAGAAGCACUCAGGGCUCAGGCUGAUAGAGCUGUAACUUACUGGCUCCCUCAGGGAAAAACUUGGAUUUGUCUGGAUUUUGUGGGUUUUGGUUUUUUGUGGGGCUUUUCUGCUGGUAACUUGGACCUAAUUAAGUGAAAAGCCAUAAACACCUUUUACAGUAUUUUAAGGAGUAAACAGGAAGGUUGUUUACUCACUCCUGCACAUCACCUUGGUCUUUCUGUUAUCCUUCUGUCCAGGAAAGGAGAGGCUGUAGCAGGCCUGAAAUUCGGCUAUUGAGUAUUUACUUCUUUUUCUUUUUUCCUCCCCCAUUGUCUUUUUUUGUUCUGGAAAUGGCACCAGCUGAUUAGGGAGUCCCAAGCAAGCCUGGAUACACUUGUUGAUUACUGCACUGUGUCUGCCUUCAUCUUCCACCUCAGUACAAGAGGAUACACACUUGACUUUGACCAGCCUGCUUGGACUGCAUUCCAGAAGGUCAGUUCCUACAGCCCAGUGCUCCCAGUUACCAGGAGGGCUGCUCCCAGUACAGCCAGUCUGUUCCCACACUGCCAAGCCCUAACCAGCUGGGCUUCUCCAGCAGGACAGUUUUGUAAAAUGGAUUCACAGUUGUUAUAAACAAGAAAACCAGUGUCAAAGAGCCAGAGAUUACACUUGUACUCUCUGAAAAACACAUGGGUCAAAAAUCUUCUCUGGUUCAACACCAUCUUUAGAAAUCUGUGUUGACAGGGAAGGAAGUACAGCCUGAUCUCCACUUAACGCUAAGGACAAGAUGCUGAUAACAUUUCCUGACCAAAAGGUGCUUCCUUACCUUUUU